UUUUUGAUUAAUAAUUUAAAGUCUAAUCUGCCCACUGAUAAUUUAUUAAAGGGCUGCAGUAUUUUGACUGUACAAAGGUAGCAUAAUCAAUAGUCUCUUAAUUGGUGACUUGUAUGAAAGAUUUAAUGAGAUAUAUACUGUCUCUUUUUAAUUUAUAAAAUUUAAUUUUUUAGUUAAAAAGCUAAAAUAAAUUUAAAAGACGAGAAGACCCUAUAGAGUUUUAUAUUUAAAUAAAUUGAAAUUAUAUAUAAAAUUUAAAAUUUUAAUUUAUAAUAAAUAUUUUAUUGGGGUGAUAAAAAAAUUAAAAGAACUUUUUUUUAUAAAUUUACAUUAAUAAAUGAAUAAAGGAUCCGUAAUUUACGAUUAAAAGAAAAAAUUACCUUAGGGAUAACAGCGUAAUUUUUUUUUUUAGUUCAAAUAAGAAAAAAAGUUUGCGACCUCGAUGUUGGAUUAAGAUAAAAUUUAAAUGCAAAAGUUUAAAAUUUUUGAUCUGUUCGAUCAUUAAAAUCUUACA
RNAcentral lists this ribosomal RNA (514 nucleotides) under Parnassius stoliczkanus zogilaica. RNAcentral describes it as "partial 16S ribosomal RNA". The stretch from base 387 to 514 matches the Rfam family "Bacterial large subunit ribosomal RNA", at positions 2473 to 2600 of the family's 2925-position model. Lineage: Eukaryota; Metazoa; Arthropoda; Insecta; Lepidoptera; Papilionidae. The record is from RNAcentral.